Molecule: ribosomal RNA, 253 nt
Filed under: uncultured bacterium
Lineage: Bacteria
Description: partial 16S ribosomal RNA
Rfam family: Bacterial small subunit ribosomal RNA
Source: RNAcentral
UACGGAGGGUGCGAGCGUUGUCCGGAAUCACUGGGCGUAAAGGGCGCGUAGGCGGCUUCUCAAGCGUGUGGUGAAAGUCCGGGGCUCAACCCCGGAUCGGCCGUGCGGACUGGGGAGCUCGAGUUCUGUAGAGGCGGGUGGAAUUCCGGGUGUAGCGGUGGAAUGCGUAGAGAUCCGGAAGAACACCGGUGGCGAAGGCGGCCUGCUGGGCUAUGGCUGACACUGAGGCGCGACAGCGUGGGGAUCAAACAGG